AACGAACGUUAGCGGCGCGCUUAACACAUGCAAGUCGAGCGAGAAAGGGAGCAAUCCCCGGUACAGCGGCGCACGGGUGAGUAACACGUAGGUAAUCUGCCUUCGAGUGGGGGAUAACCUUCCGAAAGGAGGGCUAAUACCGCAUAAGACCACGACUCCGAGAGGGGAUGAGGUCAAAGCCGGCCACUAUACAUAAGCUGGCGCUUGGAGAUGAGCCUGCGGCCCAUCAGCUAGUUGGUAGGGUAAUGGCCUACCAAGGCUAAGACGGGUANCUGGUCUGAGAGGAUGAUCAGCCACACU
RNAcentral lists this ribosomal RNA (300 nucleotides) under uncultured bacterium. RNAcentral describes it as "bacterial SSU rRNA". It matches the Rfam family "Bacterial small subunit ribosomal RNA", at positions 29 to 314 of the family's 1533-position model. The record is from RNAcentral.